AUUGAACGCUGGCGGCAGGCCUAACACAUGCAAGUCGAACGGUAACAGGAAACAGCUUGCUGUUUCGCUGACGAGUGGCGGACGGGUGAGGAAUGUCUGGGAAACUGCCUGAUGGAGGGGGAUAACUACUGGAAACGGUAGCUAAUACCGCAUAACGUCGCAAGACCAAAGAGGGGGACCUUCGGGCCUCUUGCCAUCGGAUGUGCCCAGAUGGGAUUAGCUAGUAGGUGGGGUAACGGCUCACCUAGGCGACGAUCCCUAGCUGGUCUGAGAGGAUGACCAGCCACACUGGAACUGAGACACGGUCCAGACUCCUACGGGAGGCAGCAGUGGGGAAUAUUGCACAAUGGGCGCAAGCCUGAUGCAGCCAUGCCGCGUGUAUGAAGAAGGCCUUCGGGUUGUAAAGUACUUUCAGCGGGGAUGAAGGGAGUAAAGUUAAUACCUUUUCUCAUUGACGUUACCCGCAGAAGAAGCACCGGCUAACUCCGUG
This 490-nucleotide ribosomal RNA is filed under the name uncultured bacterium. RNAcentral's name for it is "partial 16S ribosomal RNA". It matches the Rfam family "Bacterial small subunit ribosomal RNA", at positions 30 to 507 of the family's 1533-position model. The record is from RNAcentral.